AACGAACGCUGGCGGCAUGCCUAACACAUGCAAGUCGAACGGGAUCUUCGGGUCUAGUGGCGCACGGGUGCGUAACGCGUGGGAAUCUGCCCUUUGGUUCGGAAUAACAGUUGGAAACGACUGCUAAUACCGGAUGAUGACGAAAGUCCAAAGAUUUAUCGCCAGAGGAUGAGCCCGCGUAGGAUUAGCUAGUUGGUGUGGUAAAGGCGCACCAAGGCGACGAUCCUUAGCUGGUCUGAGAGGAUGAUCAGCCACACUGGGACUGAGACACGGCCUAGACUCCUACGGGAGGCAGCAGUGGGGAAUAUUGGACAAUGGGCGAAAGCCUGAUCCAGCAAUGCCGCGUGAGUGAUGAAGGCCUUAGGGUUGUAAAGCUCUUUUACCCGGGAUGAUAAUGACAGUACCGGGAGAAUAAGCUCCGGCUAACUCCGUGCCAGCAGCCGCGGUAA
Molecule: ribosomal RNA, 449 nt
Filed under: uncultured bacterium
Lineage: Bacteria
Description: partial 16S ribosomal RNA
Rfam family: Bacterial small subunit ribosomal RNA
Source: RNAcentral